CCUACGGGCGGCAGCAGUGGGGGAUAUUGCACAAUGGGGGGAACCCUGAUGCAGCGACGCCGCGUGGGUGAAGAAGCGCCUCGGCGCGUAAAGCCCUGUCAGCAGGGAAGAAAAUGACGGUACCUGAAGAAGAAGCCCCGGCUAACUACGUGCCAGCAGCCGCGGGAAUACGUAGGGGGCAAGCGUGAUCCGGAUUUACUGGGUGUAAAGGGGGCGCAGACGGCGAUGCAAGCCAGGAGUGAAAGCCCGGGGCCCAACCCCGGGACUGCUCUUGGAAGUGCGUGGCUGGAGUGCAGGAGGGGCAGGCGGAAUUCCUGGUGUAGCGGUGAAAUGCGUAGAUAUCAGGAGGAACACCGGUGGCGAAGGCGGCCUGCUGGACUGCAACUGACGUUGAGGCCCGAAAGCGUGGGGAGCAAACAGGAUUAGAUACCCGAGUAGUC
This 440-nucleotide ribosomal RNA is filed under the name uncultured bacterium. RNAcentral's name for it is "partial 16S ribosomal RNA". It matches the Rfam family "Bacterial small subunit ribosomal RNA", at positions 338 to 795 of the family's 1533-position model. The record is from RNAcentral.